AGUUGGUCAUAAGAGUAACCUCAAAAUAUACCAAAAAAUCAGCACCGAGGUGGUCAACUGCCAGAGGCAUGCCACAAAGGGGGCGCAAAACGGGCACUGCGACAAGUGGCAACGCCGAGCGACAUCGGAAUCCGAUGUGUCAGAGAAAAGAGAAAAGUUGCAAGAACUACACCGAAAAGUUUAACCACCUGCAUUAGAAGUGAUUUAAUUAAAUCAAUUAAACAUGAUAAUGGGCUAGAUUUGUAAAAGACUUCAGAGAGAGAGAGCUUGCAUAAUUCAAUGAAAAGAAUACAAGAAUUAGAGGCAGAGGCAUGCCAGCGGCAUUGCCAGCGCAAAGCAGAAAACUCCAAGAAGAGAAAGAGCCUACCGAAAAAACCAGCCUGACCUGCGUUGCAGCUGCCUUUUCCGCUGCAUUAUGGUCGUUAAGCGAGGCCUUGAGAAUAAAUAGAACCCCUGGAAAGGACUUAGGGGAUGGGAUGGACUUCUACCUAAAGUGCCCUUCGUCUACCUGGAAAAAACCCUAGGAGACGAAAACCGAGGCUACAUCGUUGACUCCGCCACAACAUCGGGUAUCAGUCGCUGCAUCGGCGGCAUGGCGUUAAAACCUUUUCUGAAAAUGUGAUUUUUUUGUGAAAUGUGAAACCCAGAUGUGAUCCAGCCGGCAGGGGCAGCUUCUUGGCCACCCAACUCUACUUUGUGCUGCAAUAUUCGUGACCAGAACCGUCACUUCACGUACAUCUUUCUCACCGCAUCGAGUCAUCAAGUGUGAUAAACCGAAGCCUCAUUCCACUGGAAAAGAGCCUUAAGCAGUAGAAGAAUCUCCUUCCGAGUGGAGCUCCCGUUUAAGGUGGCGUCUUUCUUCUCCACCGCCUGCGGUAGGAAGGAGACGCGGCGGCGUUGACGUGCCUGGUUGGUGCGAGUGGUGGUGCAACAUGUGCUGCGGCGAGCCCUGGGGAUCGACCCAAUCAACCUAGAAACCUUGCAGUCCAGCAGCUCCUACGGCCCUGGUGGGCAAUUCCACCCACAAAAUGUAAUAGACAACGCUUGCGAUGGAAAAUUCUGACCGGAGCGAGAGAGAUAGGCACAUAUCGAAUAUCCAGAGCGUUCGCUUGGCAUCACAUGCGUUGCGAGACGACGCGUACGCAUACUUCUAUCGGGCGCGUGUGGCGUCACGCGAAUGCGAGCGAGACGACAACACUGUAGACAUGGGGGAGCCCUAGCUCCCGGCUCUCCUCUAGCCACCUCUGACGCGUCGGCCAGGCGUUUGCAUCGCAAGCGGUAGAGCGAGACGGUCAUCUAGGGGCGGACUGCAAGGCACCAAAGUGAGAGCGCUAACGCAAUACAAAAAUCAUAAAUUAGACAGAGACAGCAUCAGUGCAUAACGAUGCGUAUAACGGAACGGGCGUCCCUUGGCACGCCCACAUGCACAAAGCGCACACACAGACACCGGCCGGGUUCGCACGUCAUCGGUCCUUGUCGAAACCGUUGCAGGAGCUUCCGGAACGGGGAUUCCCCGAUAAAUAAUGCCAGGAUCUGCUCAAGCGGAUAUAAAACAACUCAGCUUCGAGCUGUCAAGAUGGAGCAUUAGCUCUAUAAAUGAACUUAGAACGUGUCAUCGUAACCUCACCUCACCUCAACCAUUAAAACUCAUUUCUGGCCUGACAAUGCUACGAUAUUGCUUCGCAUUUAAUUCUCUAGAAGAACUCGAUGCUAGAUUUCUGCCAAGAAACUGUCCUUGCCCCAAGGAGCAUAUACUGGACUGGUAGUUAGGAUAAUAAUAGAUUAGAAAAAGCCAUGCCAUGCCGCCUGCCAAAGUCCUAGCCGUGAAGCUACGCCCAGAAGAAGCUGCCUCUGCAUAGACUCGAGAGGUCUCUAGACAAGAAUUCUAACCAGCAAAAGCGACAAGCUGUUGCGCUUAAGAUUACUUAUCAAAACCUCGAGCUAAGACCCUGCAUAACAUACCUCAUCUCACAGCCAUAUACACACAAAGCCAGCUUCAAGAAUUAGCCUAUUCUUCAAUUCUUAAAACUACUCAAAAUCUCCCGAACACAGUGCCUAGGAAUCGCCCAAAAAUUUAAUUUACUUUGAUUUAGUUAUUUCCAUUUUGAUUUUGAUACUAACCCAAUGUUGCUUGCAGCCAAUUGAUCAGCUUUAAAGCUGAAAAAGCAAUUCAUUAACCGACAGGAGGUGAGUUUUUGUCUUCGGUCCUUGGACGACGUUUAGUUAAUUCCCAGAAACACAGAAAGUCUAGACUUUGCUUAUUACUAAAAUAAUAAAACCAUAUAAAACCAGUAAAAAAAAAGAUAAAUACAAUGAACUGUUCUACAAACAGAUCAUCACUUGAGCGAAAUAAAGAAACAAAAUAAGUGUUUGGAAAGCGUUUUCUAACGCUCAAAAACGCUCUGAAAAUAAUAAAGUUCGCUUUGUGAGCAAAAGAAUGAAAAGAAUACAUAAAAACAAGCUCUUUGCUUGGUCAAUCGUUUGACCUGCAACUGGCUGGAUUGCCAUUAAUCACAUUCUUUGCUUAUGAACCUCAAAAUAUUCGCUUAAACUGAUGAUAAAACUUGUGAAAAAUAAACAAUAAUUAAAAGGCAAAGUCAAAGUCCGUUCACAGACUGGAAAUUAGCUAAGCGUCUUCUUUAAGGUAUUGAAAGUGCAAAAAAGAAAAAGAUAAUAUAAGCAUGGCUUGACACUGAGUAUUAACAUAUUUCUAUGCUGUGUGUCCUUUCAGAUAAGUUUUAGACUGAGACGAAACUUGAAGACUCUCGGAGCCAAAGUUUUCAAUUAGUGUUUUUAUUUCGCUUGCCGGGCGUUUUCCAGCACUUUUCAAAGAGAGAUUUGUUUUUUAAAACAUAAAAAUUUAAUAUUUUGGCUAAUUUUUGAACUAAAGUUUCCAUUAAAUGUCAUACACAUUCUCAUAUUCAGUUGGAGAUUAGCUUAAGGUGGAACCUAGUAUUCCUUAAAGUUAUUUUAUAUUCAAAUCCUUGUGCGUAUAACAGUUUCCUACAGUUGGAAAGUUCUACUUAGGGCUUACUACGAGUUUGAUAUGCAAGCAGAUGAAAAUAAGAGAUUUCAUUUCAACAAUUGUGAAAACUAAAGUACAGUCCAUCCCUAAAAUAGAGGCCAUAGCCAUGAAGCUCCGCCCAAAACAAGAGAAGAAAAUAUUUGUAUUUUGAACUAAUCCAUAAAUUUGCUUUCAGUUCCGCCAUGGAGGAGUUCCUGUUUAUUUUUUAUGUUUUUUUUUUAAGCUGUCGUCAAGUGUUCACCCCAGUCUAUCCAUCCAUUUAUGUGUACCACAUUUAACACAUUUUGAGUUUUCCCAAACUCUUGUUCUGCUCACCAGACACCUUCAUACACCUUUGACACAUUUCCACAAUUCCCACUUAUGAAAACACAAUCCACAUAAACGACAUCAAUUCAUCAACAUUUUCAUGGUUCGUGUUUUGGAGAAAGCGUCAAAGCGCAGUUUUGAAACUUUUUCCGAAACGAAAGAAAAGAAAAAUUAAAUCAUUUUGAAUUGCGAAGAACCAUUGUUAAGAACGGCCCUGAAAGCGUACGUUUUGAGCACGGUUCUAAAAGAAUAUCUAUUACAAUACUAAAAAAAAAAUAAGAAAAAAAAAACAACUAAACACAUUUACUAACAAUAGUAUAAGAAAAAGAAAUAAAAACUUGCUGGUAACGUUUUUCGCAAUUCAAAAAGAAAAAUCGAAAAAAAAAAUAUAUAUAUGCAAGUAUGAUAAAUGUGUGGAAACGUUAUACGAAUCUUCACAAAAGUGCUCUAAAAACAAACGAGUAUUACGAAACUGUUAUACGCCUGUGCCGA
Long non-coding RNA from Drosophila serrata, 3823 nucleotides. The record is from RefSeq and is a predicted model, not a curated record. Lineage: Eukaryota; Metazoa; Arthropoda; Insecta; Diptera; Drosophilidae.